This is a long non-coding RNA of Helianthus annuus (common sunflower), 484 nucleotides long. RefSeq lists it as uncharacterized. The transcript is spliced from 3 exons. The record is from RefSeq and is a predicted model, not a curated record. NCBI's taxonomy places the organism in Eukaryota, Viridiplantae, Streptophyta, Magnoliopsida, Asterales, Asteraceae.
UUGAGUAUUGCUCAGCAGCCACCACAAUAAAUAAUAAUACGACCCCUCUUCAAUAACCAUCAAUCCACUUCAUUCGCUGUUCUAGAAUUCUCGCAACAAAUUCAACUUCAACCCUAUCUCCUGCCAUCCUUUUCACACUCUCAAAGCCAUUAACACAAUGAUUCCGUAUCUCCGUCCACAACAGUUUUGAACUUCAUAUAUGAUGGAUACUGCAUCACAAUCUGAAGCGAUGUACCUGAGCAAAGAUGCCCGGAAAAUAGUUUGGGACUCCAUUGACACGGUUGUAAGCGCACAUGAUUCCGCUAGCUUGGGCAUUUUGUAUGCAACUUUGGAAAGGCGGUUGAUACGUGUCGGCAAGAUCUUGCUUCGUCACCUGUUUUUGUAUUUUCGCGCAUGAUUAGUGUUGCAUGUAUUCCAUACUCUGAGUAAAGACAUAAUAAAAUGGGUCGCUCUAAUGAGGCCUGAUCUGACUCAUCGGUCUUAA